This 318-nucleotide ribosomal RNA is filed under the name Cardinium endosymbiont of Sepsis punctum. Its description in RNAcentral is "bacterial SSU rRNA". It matches the Rfam family "Bacterial small subunit ribosomal RNA", at positions 479 to 795 of the family's 1533-position model. Lineage: Bacteria; Pseudomonadati; Bacteroidota; Cytophagia; Cytophagales; Amoebophilaceae. The record is from RNAcentral.
UGUAAGAAUAAGCACCGGCUAACUACGUGCCAGCAGCCGCGGUAAUACGUAGGGUGCAAGCGUUAAUCGGAAUUACUGGGCGUAAAGCGUGCGCAGGCGGUUUUGUAAGACAGAGGUGAAAUCCCCGGGCUCAACCUGGGAACUGCCUUUGUGACUGCAAGGCUGGAGUGCGGCAGAGGGGGAUGGAAUUCCGCGUGUAGCAGUGAAAUGCGUAGAUAUGCGGAGGAACACCGAUGGCGAAGGCAAUCCCCUGGGCCUGUACUGACGCUCAUGCACGAAAGCGUUAAGUGACAAACAAGAUUAGAUACCCUGGUAGUC